GAUGAACGCUAGCGGCAGGCCUAAUACAUGCAAGUCGAGGGGUAUGGGUUGCUUGCCACCCAGAGACCGGCGCACGGGUGCGUAACGCGUAUGCAAUCUACCUUAAUCAGGGGGAUAGCCCGGAGAAAUCCGGAUUAACACCGCAUAACAUUGAGUUGUGGCAUCACAGUUCAAUCAAAUAUUUAUAGGAUUAAGAUGAGCAUGCGUGACAUUAGUUAGUUGGUGAGGUAACGGCUCACCAAGACCACGAUGUCUAGGGGAUCUGAGAGGAUGACCCCCCACACUGGUACUGAGACACGGACCAGACUCCUACGGGGGGCAGCAGUAAGGAAUAUUGGUCAAUGGGCGCAAGCCUGAACCAGCCAUGCCGCGUGCAGGAAGACGGCCCUAUGGGUUGUAAACUGCUUUUGUACCGGAAUAAACCUUCUCUUGCGAGAGAAGCUGAACGUACGGUAAGAAUAAGGAUCGGCUAACUCCGUG
This 480-nucleotide ribosomal RNA is filed under the name uncultured bacterium. Its description in RNAcentral is "partial 16S ribosomal RNA". It matches the Rfam family "Bacterial small subunit ribosomal RNA", at positions 28 to 507 of the family's 1533-position model. The record is from RNAcentral.